AGUGAACGCUGGCGGUAGGCCUAACACAUGCAAGUCGAACGGCAGCACAGUAAGAGCUUGCUCUUACGGGUGGCGAGUGGCGGACGGGUGAGGAAUACAUCGGAAUCUACUUUUUCGUGGGGGAUAACGUAGGGAAACUUACGCUAAUACCGCAUACGACCUACGGGUGAAAGCAGGGGAUCUUCGGACCUUGCGCGAUUGAAUGAGCCGAUGUCGGAUUAGCUAGUUGGCGGGGUAAAGGCCCACCAAGGCGACGAUCCGUAGCUGGUCUGAGAGGAUGAUCAGCCACACUGGAACUGAGACACGGUCCAGACUCCUACGGGAGGCAGCAGUGGGGAAUAUUGGACAAUGGGCGCAAGCCUGAUCCAGCCAUACCGCGUGAGUGAAGAAGGCCUUCGGGUUGUAAAGCUCUUUUGUUGGGAAAGAAAAGCAGCAGGUUAAUACCCCGCUGUUCUGACGGUACCCAAAGAAUAAGCACCGGCUAACUUCGUG
RNAcentral lists this ribosomal RNA (492 nucleotides) under uncultured bacterium. RNAcentral's name for it is "partial 16S ribosomal RNA". It matches the Rfam family "Bacterial small subunit ribosomal RNA", at positions 29 to 507 of the family's 1533-position model. The record is from RNAcentral.